Long non-coding RNA from Triticum aestivum (bread wheat), 1265 nucleotides. RefSeq lists it as uncharacterized. The record is from RefSeq and is a predicted model, not a curated record. The transcript is spliced from 2 exons. Lineage: Eukaryota; Viridiplantae; Streptophyta; Magnoliopsida; Poales; Poaceae.
CCUGGGCCGUCGCCCCCCAGCAAAAAUGAAUUUUUUUUACUACCCCUAUGUAUACAUACAGCCCACAGGCCCACUUAUCAACUAGGACUAGUCUACGAUGCCUGGAGCCUGGAUGCAGCGACCAACUCCAUACUCCAGAAUCCUUUUCCCCUUUGACUUGCGACCACGGACGGCUGAGCGUGGGCGUGGGGCACCGGCGACUGGGAACUGGCCGCUGUGGCCUGCCGGCGUGGGGCGACCGCUGGCCGGCUGGCAGGUGGCCGGCUAGGGGUUGGUCGACUCCUUCCUCCUCCGCUCAGGUUCAUCCACUUCUGCCUCGGUUGUGGCUGUCCUCCCGCGCAGCAGUGCCUCGAUUAAGAGGGAACAAGAGAGGCCGUGAUGCUUAAGGGGAAAACAAUUGAUGCGUUUUUCAAAAGAAAGAGAGGUGAUUCAACUGAAUGUGAAGUUGAUGAACCAAUAGCAACAGAAGCAAUUCCUGUUCCGCCUCCUCUGUUGUUGCUCGAAUUUGAGCAACAUGGACCACAUCCUUCGAUGCCUCAACAACAAGGCCAUCAAACUCAAACAAAUGAAGUACAAUUUUGAGGGAUUGAAUUCUUGCAGCGGGAUCCAGCACUACGUCCACAGAUUUGGCAAUAUCCACCUAAUCAAAGAGAUGAUGUGGGGCGAGCAUAUUUGAAGCUUGGUAUUAUGCAGCCCCGCUUGAAGAAUUACAAAGCUUACGGUUCAGAAGGUCGCAAACGACGCUUUAAAUAUGACUGGUUCAAGGAUUUCCCAUCAUGGUUGGAGUACUCGGAGGACAGUCAUCGUGCAUAUUGCUUCUAUUGUUUCUUGUUCAGCAACAAUAAAAACAAGCGAGGUGGUUCAGAUGUCUUUACUAUGCGAGGAUUUGUAAAUUGGAAGAAGGUCCAUGAUGGAAAGAAAUGUGCAUUCUCUACUUUGAAGUGGAAGAUGAUUAUCUAGCCAAUAGCUUGCUAGUAAACAUAGAGAGUGAAAUUGUGGAGAAGUACAACUAUGAAGAUGUUCUUGUGCACUUUAAGGGUGUAAAGAAACGAAGGGCUGAUCUGUAGUGAACUGGAUGCUCCAUAGUUAAAUAGUAUUUUGGGUAUAGUUUCUUUUGUUCUGGAGCUGGUCAGUAGUGAACUGAAUGUUCCACGGUUAAAUAGCACUUUGUAGUGAACCGAAUUCUCUACUGAUUAGAAAUGUAUUUUGUAAGCUAAUCUGGAGAAGAUCAAUAUAAUUAUCUAAGUUACUUGAUAUUUGCAACA